ACGUAGGGUGCGAGCGUUAAUCGGAAUUACUGGGCGUAAAGCGUGCGCAGGCGGUUCGCUAAGACAGGUGUGAAAUCCCCGGGCUUAACCUGGGAACGGCGUUUUUAACUGGCAGUCUAGAGUGCGUCAGAGGGGGGUGGAAUUCCACGUGUAGCAGUGAAAUGCGUAGAGAUGUGGAGGAACACCGAUGGCGAAGGCAGCCCCCUGGGACAUGACUGACGCUCAGGUACGAAAGCGUGGGGAGCAAACAG
This 251-nucleotide ribosomal RNA is filed under the name uncultured prokaryote. RNAcentral describes it as "partial 16S ribosomal RNA". It matches the Rfam family "Bacterial small subunit ribosomal RNA", at positions 525 to 775 of the family's 1533-position model. The record is from RNAcentral.